Lethenteron reissneri (Far Eastern brook lamprey) is the source of this 282-nucleotide long non-coding RNA. RefSeq lists it as uncharacterized. NCBI's taxonomy places the organism in Eukaryota, Metazoa, Chordata, Hyperoartia, Petromyzontiformes, Petromyzontidae. The record is from RefSeq and is a predicted model, not a curated record.
GGGAGGCCUUCAUCCAGCAGUGGAUUAACAAAAGGGAUCUACCUGCACACGAACAACUGCAGGGCGUGUGUUUUGACUGCCCGUGCAUUGGCGUCAACCCUCAAUACCCUGAGCAUGAAGCCACAAGCACCGCUGACGUCCGCUCUCAGCGAGUGACGCACGCGUCGUGAACAGAGUCGUGCCGUAUGAGAUCACGGUGUUCACGAGCGACAUCCGCAACGCCGGCACCAACGCGGACGUGAGCUUGGUGCUGUACGGCCCCAACGGCGUGAGCACGCGCUC